RNAcentral lists this ribosomal RNA (389 nucleotides) under uncultured Nitrospina sp. RNAcentral's name for it is "bacterial SSU rRNA". It matches the Rfam family "Bacterial small subunit ribosomal RNA", at positions 29 to 410 of the family's 1533-position model. The record is from RNAcentral. Lineage: Bacteria; Pseudomonadati; Nitrospinota; Nitrospinia; Nitrospinales; Nitrospinaceae.
AACGAACGCUGGCGGCGUGCUUAACACAUGCAAGUCGAACGAGAAAGUUUCCUUCGGGAAGCUAGUAAAGUGGCGCAAGGGUGAGUAACACGUGAAUAAUCUGCCCUCGAGAUUGGGAUAACUUGGCGAAAGCUAGGCUAAUACCGGAUAAGACCACAUUUCAUAAGGAAUGCGGUAAAAGAAGUCUCAAACUUCACUCGAGGAUGAGUUCGCGGACCAUUAGCUUGUUGGUGAGAUAAAAGCUCACCAAGGCUUCGAUGGAUAGCCGGCCUGAGAGGGUGAUCGGCCACACUGGAACUGAGACACGGUCCAGACUCCUACGGGAGGCAGCAGUAGGGAAUCUUGCACAAUGGAGGAAACUCUGAUGCAGCGAUGCCGCGUGAGUGAAG